AUGGUUUUAAAGAAAGCAGACCUGGCUGGUUCUUGGGACAAUGUGCCUGGGUGGGAGGUCUGGGAUAGCCCUGCAGGUCUUGGCUCAUUCGAGCCAGUGCACUGCCCUCCCACUUUGGCAGCCUCCCCUGGACUCGCCUCCUUCCCGUGCAGCGACGCCAAAAAAAGAAAAGGCGCUUGUAUUCGGGUAAUUACAGGGCCGUCGCCUCUAAACGCGCCAAGGCGCAUGCUUAGUCUCUGGUCACGUGAUGCCUGUCAUGGCCGCCUCCGUGGCCUGGGGAGGUGUGAAUGCUGGGUUCCUGCUGCGGGCUGCCAGGGGUGCCUGGUGGAGCCGACCUGGAGGCUUUUGGGGGUCCGGGGAGGCGGCGGCGCCAGCGAUAGCCAGGAAAUUCCGGGCGACAGGCUCGCGCCCGGCGGGGGAGGAAGAAGCCGGCGGCCCCGAGCGGCCCGGGGACGUGUGAGUGUGGGAGCCAAGUCCCCCGUUAAUAAUAGCACGGGGUUCCUCCGGUCCCCACGUUGCCGUACAGCCUCAUCCCUGUGUCCCCCCUUCUGCAUCACCCUAUUUCCAUGUCCCGUCAAACCCCAAACAUGAGUUCCUAAGCCUAUAUUCCACCUGGCCCCUGCGCCCAUCGUCCAGUUGAGGCAUCUGCACUCUCAUCUGUCCCCAGGGUGAACGUGGUGUUCGUGGACAGGUCAGGCCAACGGAUUCCGGUGAGCGGCAGAGUCGGGGACAAUGUUCUCCACCUGGCCCAGCGCCAUGGGUUGGAUCUGGAAG
This 774-nucleotide long non-coding RNA is filed under the name Capra hircus (goat). Its description in RNAcentral is "lncRNA (ENSCHIG00010004132.1)". The record is from RNAcentral. Lineage: Eukaryota; Metazoa; Chordata; Mammalia; Artiodactyla; Bovidae.